Molecule: ribosomal RNA, 1028 nt
Filed under: uncultured bacterium
Lineage: Bacteria
Description: bacterial SSU rRNA
Rfam family: Bacterial small subunit ribosomal RNA
Source: RNAcentral
GUCGAACGAAGUAGCAAUACUUAGUGGCAGACGGGUGAGUAACAUGUAGGUAUCUGCCCUUUGGCCUGGAAUAACACGAGGAAACUUGUGCUAAUACCGGAUAAGUCUUUACGGAGAAAGCUUUAUGCACCAUUGGAUGAGCCUGCACUUGAUUAGUUUGUUGGUGGGGUAAUGGCCUACCAAGACUGUGAUCAAUAGCUGAUUUGAGAGGAUGAUCAGCCACAUUGGGACUGAGACACGGCCCAAACUCCUACGGGAGGCAGCAGUGGGGAAUCUUGCACAAUGGAGGAAACUCUGAUGCAGCGAUGCCGCGUGAGUGAAGAAGGCCUUUGGGUUGUAAAGCUCUUUCGUCGGGGAAGAAAAUGACUGUACCCGAAUAAGAAGGUCCGGCUAACUUCGUGCCAGCAGCCGCGGUAAUACGAAGGGACCUAGCGUAGUUCGGAAUUACUGGGCUUAAAGAGUUCGUAGGUGGUUGAAAUAGUUGGUGGUGAAAUCCCAGAGCUUAACUCUGGAACUGCCAUCAAAACUUUUCAGCUAGAGUAUGAUAGAGGAAAGCAGAAUUUCUAGUGUAGAGGUGAAAUUCGUAGAUAUUAGAAAGAAUACCAAUUGCGAAGGCAGCUUUCUGGAUCAUUACUGACACUGAGGAACGAAAGCAUGGGUAGCGAAGAGGAUUAGAUACCCUCGUAGUCCAUGCCGUAAACGAUGUGUGUUAGACGUUGGAAAUUUAUUUUCAGUGUCGCAGGGAAACCGAUAAACACACCGCCUGGGGAGUACGACCGCAAGGUUAAAACUCAAAUGAAUUGACGGGGACCCGCACAAGUAGUGGAGCAUGUGGUUUAAUUCGAAGAUACGCGCAGAACCUUACCAACACUUGACAUGUUCGUCGCGACUCUAAGAGAUUAGAGUUUUCGGUUCGGCCGGACGAAACACAGGUGCUGCAUGGCUGUCGUCAGCUCGUGUCGUGAGAUGUUGGGGUUAAGUCCCGCAACGAGCGCAACCCUCACUUUUAGUUGCCAUCAUUAAGUUGG